Molecule: ribosomal RNA, 559 nt
Filed under: uncultured bacterium
Lineage: Bacteria
Description: bacterial SSU rRNA
Rfam family: Bacterial small subunit ribosomal RNA
Source: RNAcentral
AGCGGCGAACGGGUGAGUAAUACUGGGGUAACAUCCCUCCGAGAUUGGGAUAACGCGCCGAAAGGCGUGCUAAUACCGAAUAAGACCACGACCCCUCCGGGGGUUGGGGUCAAAGAUGGCCUCUAUUUAUAAGCUAUCACUGGGAGAUUGGCUCAAGCACCAUUAGCUAGUUGGCGGGGUAACGGCCCACCAAGGCUUCGAUGGUUAGCCGGCCUGAGAGGGUGAUCGGCCACACUGGGACUGAGAUACGGCCCAGACUCCUACGGGAGGCAGCAGUUUGGAAUAUUCCACAAUGGGCGAAAGCCUGAUGGAGCGACACCGCGUGAAGGACGAAGGUCUUCGGAUUGUAAACUUCUUUAGACCUAGAUGAAGGCUUCAGGGUGAAUAAUCCUGAAGUUUGACAGUAUAGGUAGAAUAAGCCACGGCUAACUCUGUGCCAGCAGCCGCGGUAAUACAGAGGUGGCAAACGUUGUCCGGAUUUAUUGGGUGUAAAGGGCAUGUAGGUGGUUUUGUAAGUCAAAGGUGAAAUGGCCCGGCUCAACCAGGUCAUUGCCUUUGA